UACGGAGGGAGCUAGCGUUGUUCGGAAUUACUGGGCGUAAAGCGCGCGUAGGCGGCUUCGUAAGUUAGAGGUGAAAGCCCGGGGCUCAACCCCGGAACUGCCUUUAAAACUGCAUCGCUUGAAUCCGGGAGAGGUGAGUGGAAUUCCGAGUGUAGAGGUGAAAUUCGUAGAUAUUCGGAAGAACACCAGUGGCGAAGGCGGCUCACUGGACCGGCAUUGACGCUGAGGUGCGAAAGCGUGGGGAGCAAACAGG
This 253-nucleotide ribosomal RNA is filed under the name uncultured bacterium. RNAcentral's name for it is "partial 16S ribosomal RNA". It matches the Rfam family "Bacterial small subunit ribosomal RNA", at positions 524 to 776 of the family's 1533-position model. The record is from RNAcentral.